This 385-nucleotide long non-coding RNA is filed under the name Zostera marina. RNAcentral describes it as "long non-coding RNA (ZMAR_LNC002312)". Lineage: Eukaryota; Viridiplantae; Streptophyta; Magnoliopsida; Alismatales; Zosteraceae. The record is from RNAcentral.
UGGACGGCAUCCGGCCAGCACGCCGCCGUCAACUUCGGUCAGUAUCCGUUAGGUGGGUACAUGCCAAAUCGACCCACUGUGAUGAAAGAGUUGAUUCCGGAGAUUGACGAACCAGAGUAUGAGAAAUUCUUGAAGUGUCCGCAAGACGCUUACUUGGCAUCUCUGCCGUCGGUGCUGGAAACGACUAAAGUAAUGGCGGUGCAAGAUUCGUUGUCGACGCAUGCACCGGACGAAGAUUAUUUGGGUAAGGUCGAUGAGUCGCAUUCGAGUUGGAUCGACGACGAUAAGAUUCUGAACUUGCAUGAGAAAUUCGCCGGCAAAUUGGUGGAGAUUGAAGAGAUUAUUAAGGCGAGGAAUAAUGAUAAGAGACUUACUCAUCGAAAUG